GAGAAACCCUUAUGAAGCAGAACUUGCUUCUGUGGGACUUUGGUGCUCACUGAGUCUGCUCCUUGAGUGUGUCACU
This is a non-coding RNA of Myotis lucifugus (little brown bat), 76 nucleotides long. NCBI's taxonomy places the organism in Eukaryota, Metazoa, Chordata, Mammalia, Chiroptera, Vespertilionidae. The record is from Rfam.